CCUACGGGCGGCAGCAGUGGGGAAUAUUGCGCAAUGGGCGAAAGCUUGACGCAGCGACGCCGCGUGAGGGAUGAAGGUCUUCGGAUCGUAAACCUCUGUUAGCAGGGAAGAACGGUCACUGUGCUAAUCAGCAGUGAAUUGACGGUACCUGCAAAGGAAGCACUGGCUAACUCCGUGCCAGCAGCCGCGGUAAUACGGAGGGUGCGAGCGUUAAUCGGAAUUACUGGGCGUAAAGCGUUCGUAGGCGGUAUGUUAAGUCAAGGGGGAAAUCCCCGGGCUCAACGUGGGAACUGCCUUUGAUACUAGCAAACUGGAGUGUGUGAGAGGAUAGUGGAAUUCCAGGUGUAGGAGUGAAAUGCGUAGAUAUAGGGAAGAACAUCAGAGGCGAAGGCGACUAACUGGGUCAAAACUGACGCUGAGGGGCGAAAGCGUGGGUAGCAAACAGGAUUAGAUACCCUGGUAGUC
This 465-nucleotide ribosomal RNA is filed under the name uncultured bacterium. RNAcentral's name for it is "partial 16S ribosomal RNA". It matches the Rfam family "Bacterial small subunit ribosomal RNA", at positions 338 to 795 of the family's 1533-position model. The record is from RNAcentral.